RNAcentral lists this ribosomal RNA (468 nucleotides) under uncultured bacterium. Its description in RNAcentral is "partial 16S ribosomal RNA". It matches the Rfam family "Bacterial small subunit ribosomal RNA", at positions 28 to 523 of the family's 1533-position model. The record is from RNAcentral.
GAUGAACGCUGGCGGCGUGCCUAACACAUGCAAGUCGAGCGAUUCUCUUCGGAGAAGAGCGGCGGACGGGUGAGUAACGCGUGGGUAACCUGCCCUGUACACACGGAUAACAUACCGAAAGGUAUGCUAAUACGAGAUAAUAUGCUUUUGUCGCAUGGUAGAAGUAUCAAAGCUCCGGCGGUACAGGAUGGACCCGCGUCUGAUUAGCUAGUUGGUAAGGUAACGGCUUACCAAGGCGACGAUCAGUAGCCGACCUGAGAGGGUGAUCGGCCACAUUGGAACUGGGACACGGUCCAAACUCCUACGGGAGGCAGCAGUGGGGAAUAUUGCACAAUGGGCGAAAGCCUGAUGCAGCAACGCCGCGUGAGCGAUGAAGGCCUUCGGGUCGUAAAGCUCUGUCCUCAAGGAAGAUAAUGACGGUACUUGGGGAGGAAGCCCCGGCUAACUACGUGCCAGCAGCCGCCGUAA